Molecule: ribosomal RNA, 383 nt
Filed under: uncultured bacterium
Lineage: Bacteria
Description: bacterial SSU rRNA
Rfam family: Bacterial small subunit ribosomal RNA
Source: RNAcentral
AACGAACGCUGGCGGCGCGCUUAACACAUGCAAGUCGAACGAGAAGGCGUAGCAAUACGCUCGUACAGUGGCGAACGGGUGAGUAAUACGUGGGCGAACCUACCCUCGAGUGGGGAAUAACCCGCCGAAAGGCGGGCUAAUGCCGCGUACGCUUCCAUCUUUAUGGAGGUGGAAGGAAAGCCGUGCCGUGGGCACGGCGCUCAAGGAUGGGCUCACGUCCUAUCAGCUUGUUGGUAGGGAACGGCCUACCAAGGCUCCGACGGGUAGCUGGUCUGAGAGGACGAUCAGCCACACUGGCACUGCGACACGGGCCAGACUCCUACGGGAGGCAGCAGUGAGGAAUAUUGCGCAAUGGGCGAAAGCCUGACGCAGCGACGCCGCGU